UCUCUAUCACACACACACACACACACCUCUACAUCACCGUCUCUUUCUCUAUUUCUCUCUGCUUCUCCUUCUCAAAAAAAAAAAUCUGUGCCCAGAUCAAGAAUGAGGGAGGAAAUGAGGGACCAAUUGGUGUACCGUGAGGGGGAAGAGGAGGCGGAGAAGGAGAAGGACCCGCAACGCUGUCGUAUUGGGUUUCCUCAUAAGAGUGUUGUCGUCGUGGGUUAUGCUCUUACGUCUAAGAAGACCAAGAGCUUCUUGCAGCCCAAGCUUGAAGGUUUAGCUAGGAACAAGGGGAUAUUAUUUGUUGCUAUUGAUCAUAACAGGCCUCUUUCGGAUCAAGGCCCUUUUGACAUUGUGUUGCAUAAGCUCUCGGGAAGAGAGUGGCGCCAGAUUCUUGAGGACUAUAGGAAAACACAUCCAGAAGUUACUGUUCUUGAUCCUCCUGAUGCGAUACAACCUUUACAUAAUCGUCAGUCCAUGCUCCAGGCUGUUGCUGAUAUGGACUUGUCUGAUUCCUAUGGCAAAGUUGGUGUUCCAAGACAAUUGGUUAUCAAGAGAGAUGCAUCAUCCAUCCCUGAUGCUGUUACAGAUAGUGGUCUGAAACUACCUCUUGUUGCUAAGCCACUGGUGAAUGAUGGAAGUGUAAAAUCCCAUCAACUAUCACUUGCCUAUGAUCGAUACUCCCUCCAAAAGCUUGAACCCCCUCUUGUUCUUCAGGAGUUUGUAAACCAUGGAGGUGUUCUUUUUAAAGUAUAUAUCGUAGGUGAAGCUAUAAAAGUGGUCAGACGUUUCUCUUUACCUGAUGUCAGUAAAAGAGAGCUUUCUGAAACCGCGGGUGUGUAUCGUUUUCCGAGGGUUUCAUGUGCUGCAGCUUCAGCAGAUGAUGCAGAUCUGGACCCUAGCAUAGCUGAACUUCCUCCACGGCCAUUACUCGAGAGACUUGCUAAGGAACUUCGUCGUCGACUGGUAGGUCUUACUGUUCACUGUGUGGUUUUGGUCUGCGGUUAUUCAAUUUGGACAUGAUCCGAGAACAUGGAACUAGAGAUCGGUUUUAUGUCAUUGACAUUAACUACUUCCCUGGGUAUGGGAAAAUGCCCGAGUAUGAACACAUAUUUACGGACUUCCUAUUGAGCCUGGUAGAGGCAAAGUACAAAAAGAGAUCUGGCUGAAGGAACUUGAUAAACUCUGCUAGAGAUCGAGGUGUUAGUCUCCAGACUCUGAACACAUAGCAGACAGCACCUGAAUAAGAUUUGGCACGGCAAGAUUGCUUGCUUUGGUCCUACAUAUAGUGACAUGUGUGGGUCCCUGUGGAUGGCUGAAGGAGGAUGUUUGUCCAGACAUUCAAGUUGCUCAUAUAUUUGAUCUUCCUCCCCACAAGAAUGCAUCAUGUACAGAGUUCUCAUAAAGUCUUAACUUGGCUCUGUUUGUUAAUUCUUUUUUGCCUACUGCUCAAUGUUGAUUGGUGAUGUACGUAAGCGCAGUUACUGAUACAGAAUUUCAUAAUUUGCUGGGAUAUUUAUUAGGAUUUUUAGUUGGAUCUACAUGUUAAGGAAGCAUGCAAAAGUCAUAUUCCUGUUCAAGUCCUAUUCCACAUUUUUAUGCUUUAGUUGAAGAUGCUUUCCUUUU
Rosa chinensis is the source of this 1626-nucleotide RNA transcript. It is a transcript of the gene named inositol-tetrakisphosphate 1-kinase 3, with no coding region annotated. Lineage: Eukaryota; Viridiplantae; Streptophyta; Magnoliopsida; Rosales; Rosaceae. The record is from RefSeq and is a predicted model, not a curated record. The transcript has 10 exons.